Homo sapiens (human) is the source of this 564-nucleotide long non-coding RNA. The record is from Ensembl. Lineage: Eukaryota; Metazoa; Chordata; Mammalia; Primates; Hominidae.
AAUCCAUGUCAAACUAAGAAAAAAAGUCAGGAAAAAUCAUCACAUUUCUUGAAUGCAGAGGAAUUUGGGGACCAAAACUUGAAAGGAAAUAAGGAAAGGAGAACUAUGCAGAAGGAGAAGUUGAAUAUGCCUUCAAAACUGGGACAUGAGAGAGUCUGGCUCUGUUGUCGCCCAGGCUGGAGUGCAGUGGCGCGUCUCGGCUCACCGCAAGCUUCGCCUCCCGGGUUCAUGCCAUUCUCCUGCCUCAGCCUCCUGAAUAGCUGGGAGUACAGGCGCCUGCCACCACGCCUGGCUAAUUUUUUUGUAUUUUUAGGAGAGACAGGGUUUCACUGAGUUAGCCAGGAUGGUCUCAAUCUCCUCACCUCAUGAUCUGGCUGCCUUGGCCUCCCAAAGUGCUGGGAUUAUAGCUGUGAGCCACUGCACCCGGUGUCCACUGAUGAUAUUCUUAUGGAGAGCCUCAGAUGUGAACUAUCAGCAGUUCACAACCUGCUUUUGAAGAAAUGUGUUCUGAAAGAGGAUCUGGGUGAUCCACCUAAGCAUCCAAAACAAUGAAGAACUACCAGA